GGUUCCAUGCUGUAAUGGUUAGCACUCUGGACUCUGAAUCCAGCGAUCCAAGUUCAGAUCUCUGUAGAACCU
Molecule: transfer RNA, 72 nt
Filed under: Erinaceus europaeus (western European hedgehog)
Lineage: Eukaryota; Metazoa; Chordata; Mammalia; Eulipotyphla; Erinaceidae
Rfam family: tRNA
About the family: Transfer RNA (tRNA) molecules are approximately 80 nucleotides in length. Their secondary structure includes four short double-helical elements and three loops (D, anti-codon, and T loops). Further hydrogen bonds mediate the characteristic L-shaped molecular structure. tRNAs have two regions of fundamental functional importance: the anti-codon, which is responsible for specific mRNA codon recognition, and the 3' end, to which the tRNAs corresponding amino acid is attached (by aminoacyl-tRNA synthetases). tRNAs cope with the degeneracy of the genetic code in two manners: having more than one tRNA (with a specific anti-codon) for a particular amino acid; and 'wobble' base-pairing, i.e. permitting non-standard base-pairing at the 3rd anti-codon position.
Source: Rfam by way of RNAcentral